Molecule: ribosomal RNA, 404 nt
Filed under: Fusobacteriota bacterium
Lineage: Bacteria; Fusobacteriati; Fusobacteriota
Description: Fusobacteria bacterium partial 16S ribosomal RNA
Rfam family: Bacterial small subunit ribosomal RNA
Source: RNAcentral
UGGGGAAUGUUGCACAAUGGAGGGAACUCUGAUGCAGCGACGCCGCGUGAGUGAUGAAGGAAUUCGUUUCGUAAAACUCUGUUCUAUGGGAAGAAAAGGACUGUACCAUAGGAGAAAGCUCCGGCUAAAUACGUGCCAGCAGCCGCGGUAAUACGUAUGGAGCGAGCGUUGUCCGGAAUUAUUGGGCGUAAAGGGUGCGCAGGCGGCUUUACAAGUUGGAUGUGAAAUAUUGUGGCUCAACCACAAACGUGCAUCCAAAACUGCAAAGCUUGAGUUAAGGAGAGGUAAGUGGAAUUCCUGGUGUAGCGGUGGAAUGCGUAGAUAUCAGGAGGAAUACCGGUGGCGAAGGCGACGUACAGGACUUAAACUGACGCUCAGGCACGAAAGCGUGGGGAGCAAACAGG